GAUGAACGCUAGCGGGAGGCCUAACACAUGCAAGUCGAACGGGAUCCCCGAGCAAUCGGGGUGAGAGUGGCGCACGGGUGAGUAACGCGUAUGCAACCUGCCUUUAACUGAGGGAUAGCCCAUAGAAAUGUGGAUUAAUACCUCAUAGUUUUGUUGGAUCGCAUGAUUCGGCAAAUAAAGCUCCGGCGGUUAAAGAUGGGCAUGCGUGACAUUAGCUAGUUGGUAAGGUAACGGCUUACCAAGGCUACGAUGUCUAGGGGUUCUGAGAGGAUGAUCCCCCACACUGGUACUGAGACACGGACCAGACUCCUACGGGUGGCAG
Molecule: ribosomal RNA, 322 nt
Filed under: uncultured Bacteroidota bacterium
Lineage: Bacteria; Pseudomonadati; Bacteroidota
Description: bacterial SSU rRNA
Rfam family: Bacterial small subunit ribosomal RNA
Source: RNAcentral